Molecule: long non-coding RNA, 442 nt
Filed under: Brassica napus (rape)
Lineage: Eukaryota; Viridiplantae; Streptophyta; Magnoliopsida; Brassicales; Brassicaceae
Description: long non-coding RNA (BNAP_LNC023626)
Source: RNAcentral
UGAAGAAACCAAUUUCAACUAAAGAAGUUUCUUCAACCGCUCGACUAGAGCACGCUCACGUCUCCGACAUAUCUCCGACCCGAAGAUCUUCCCGCCCUCUAAGGAUUGACGGCUCAUCAAACGCGAUAAUGCCUAUUAGUGUUCAUAAUACAUGUAAAUGAGUAGUUAGAGUAAUUAACGAAACACUUGUAUAUAUAGUGAACAUUGUAUACACAUUAAUCUUAAUGAAGAUAUUUUCAUUUUACUAUCUUUGCUAAUAUGAUAUCAGAACGACUGAGCUGAGCUCAACCAUUUCUCUGAUCACCUCUGAUCAUCGUCUUCGUUCACUCACUAUCUCUGAUCAUUCAUCAUCUUCUUCAUCUAUGAUCGUUAUUGUUCCUCGACUCUUCUACUUUCGAUUUCUUCGAUCCAUCUUCACUCCGCAUCUCGCAAUCUCCGAUCA